AUAGGAGGAGAACUUAAGAUGUGCAGAUGUACAAUUACUUGCCUCAAGUCCCACUGGAGCUGAGGUACGAACCACGAUCUCCCGAGAUUCUGAUGUAGCAUCUGGACCGUAAACCUGUAAGGAGCAGUCACAGUGUCUCCUCUCCCCAAGUCUUAGUACUCCAGAUAUUCUGAUUUUCUCAGCUGGAGACAAGGAUGCUAGGCAGCUUUGUCUGGACAAGCGUACAUAAGGAUCCAUGUGAAGAUAAAAGGUAUCAAGAGAUCUGCUCCAAGGAAAAGAAUUGUGACCAGUUACCCAAAAUUCUUGUAGUAGUACCUCAGAAAACUGGUGAGAAACACAUGGGAAAGGUGCAGUCGGAAAUUCAGCGACGCCUCCGCGGAGUAGAAGGAAGAUCCAUUCUUCAAUCACUAAUAAUAUCCAUGGACUAA
RNAcentral lists this long non-coding RNA (428 nucleotides) under Struthio camelus australis. RNAcentral's name for it is "lncRNA (ENSSCUG00000009395.1)". The record is from RNAcentral. Lineage: Eukaryota; Metazoa; Chordata; Aves; Struthioniformes; Struthionidae.